RNAcentral lists this transfer RNA (62 nucleotides) under Bothriocroton undatum (goanna tick). Its description in RNAcentral is "tRNA-Pro". The record is from RNAcentral. Lineage: Eukaryota; Metazoa; Arthropoda; Arachnida; Ixodida; Ixodidae.
CAGAAAAUAAUAUAAAUAUAGUAUUUGAAUUUUGGAGAUUUAAAGUGAGGAAUCUUUUCUGA